AAGUCCGUAUUGGGUUCCAGGCAUGCAGCCUGCCUAGAGCUUCAGUACGAGGCCUAGCGGGCUGUGAUCACUGGCAGAUAUGUCUGGAAUAAUGUAUGAAUCAUGGACUCUUUCUGCAAUGGAUUCAGACACAAGAAAAUAAUCCAGACGCCAACCUGUGUUGGUCUUCCGGGCAUUAUGCCUAUAACCCCAGUAACUAUAUCCAACAACAUUGGGAUGCUGUUUUCGAAAUGUAUCAACAAAACCUUUGGACAAAAAAUUAGUCUCGAAUGAUUCCCUUUCUUCAAUUGUAAAGCCUGCACUUCUACGAUUUCCAGCAGGAUCAUGUAUAUCAAUCUCUUGAUGGGCACAGUUAAGAUCACCAGUUAGUAUAACAGGCUUCGAUUUUUCCAAGUCUUUCAUGUAGUUACCAAGGCUUGGAUCCCAUUCUGUGACCCUGUAAAAUUACCAAUCUUUUUAGACCAUCACCAGAAUUUGGUACAUAAGCAGUCAGGAGGUAAAAAUCAUUGAACUCCACUGUGACGACCCUCCCUUCAGUAUCAUGGUCUGGCACACCAAGCCCGUACUUGAUAGAGAUGCACACCCUUGAAAUUAUUGCAGUCCCCGAAUAGCCAAGCUUUGAUACACUGCAUGUCCAGAAACUAUGGGUAUAGCCUUCAAGUAGACCUUCCUUAAUGACUUCUACAUCCUUCUCCUGCUCAAAAUAACGUAAUUCCUGGCAUAGUAUAUCGAAGUCCUCCCUCUGAGCUAACUGAUGAAUAGAGAAGCCCCUCGAUUUAAGUAAAGCUUUUAAUCCAUUCACAUUCCAUGACAGAAUCUUUAGAGCCUUCGUAUCCUUGCUAAGAGAUGGAGACCUCAUGACCUUAGGAUUAUAAGGAAUCCAGGCAGGUUGUGGUUUCUUGUGUACAAGUACAGUCCAAGGUUCUUCAUGGUCCACACUGGCACCUUGGACUAGAAUGGAUUAUCACAUAAUCAGCCAAGAGAGAGCUUUUUCUUCUGGACUGAUGUCUUGCUUUGCUUGACAUUAGCCCCAGAACUCUCCUCAGCGGUUCCUUUGUUCUUUGCUCUACUUCUCUUACUAGGAGUUUCAGAAAUGACCUCAGAACUAUCUAUGUUUUGUUCAACUACUACUGAAGCACCUUUUCUUUUUGAAGGUACUUCAGACACACCAAUCUUCUCAACUGAUGAAUAAUUUACACCAUUUCUUUCCUUACCCAGAGAAUCCAUCAGGGCUGAUACCAAAUCUUUCUUGUUGCCUUUUACAGGAAUUCCCAUCAUCCUUGUGAUUUCCCUGAGCUCCUUCACUGUCAUGGAUUGGAGUCGAUCGGGGUCAUUCCUAAGUUGCUCUAUCUCCAAUUUGCUUUCAGCAACAUCCUCCUAUAGACAUGUUCAUCAUCUUUCUUGAUAUCAGUAUUCUUAGAGGCAGCUCGACGCGAAUAGGUGGCUCGUGUUUCUGCCAUCAUCAAGCUUAGUCUUAUCAGUGCUAGUUUGCUGGGACUGAAAUUUGCGCUUGGAAGCCCACAGCCACACCUACAAGACGGAAGAGGGAGCCGCCGCGCAGGAGCAGCGGCAUGGGCGGGCGAGCUAGGGCGCGAGGCGCCGCGACGUGG
Molecule: small RNA, 1610 nt
Filed under: Oryza sativa Japonica Group (Japanese rice)
Lineage: Eukaryota; Viridiplantae; Streptophyta; Magnoliopsida; Poales; Poaceae
Description: sRNA Os01g0800950
Source: RNAcentral